This is an RNA transcript of Apus apus (common swift), 5507 nucleotides long. It is a transcript of the gene named far upstream element binding protein 1, with no coding region annotated. The record is from RefSeq and is a predicted model, not a curated record. Lineage: Eukaryota; Metazoa; Chordata; Aves; Apodiformes; Apodidae. The transcript has 22 exons.
AGCACGAUGCCGCGCAGGAAUGUGAAAGGCUCCCGCCCGCCGCCAUUUUCUUUCUUUCUUGGCAGGCAGCGAGUGGGGCAGGAAGCGGUGGCUGACCGAGUAUGGCGGACUAUUCCACGGUGCCCCCUCCUGCUUCGGGCGCGCCCGGGGGAGGCGGCGGUGGAGGUGGAGGAGUGAAUGAUGCUUUUAAAGACGCGCUGCAGAGGGCUAGGCAGAUUGCAGCAAAAAUUGGAGGAGAUGCUGGUACCUCAAUGAAUUCAAACGACUACGGUUAUGGAGGGCAAAAAAGACCUCUUGAGGAUGGAGAUGGCUCUUGGACAAGUCCGAGCAGUACAACACACUGGGAGGGAAUGCCCUCUCCUUUUAAAGAUCAACCAGAUGCUAAGAAAGUCGCUCCUCAGAAUGACUCUUUUGGAAAUCAACUACCACCGAUGCAUCAACAACAAAGGUCUGUGAUGACAGAGGAGUACAAAGUUCCAGAUGGGAUGGUUGGAUUCAUAAUUGGCAGAGGUGGAGAGCAGAUCUCACGUAUACAGCAAGAGUCUGGCUGUAAAAUACAGAUUGCACCUGAUAGUGGAGGCCUGCCUGAAAGAUCAUGUAUGCUAACUGGAACACCAGAGUCUGUUCAAUCAGCUAAAAGGUUACUUGAUCAGAUAGUUGAAAAGGGAAGACCUGCCCCUGGCUUUCAUCAUGGUGAUGGACCUGGAAAUGCAGUCCAAGAAAUCAUGAUUCCAGCAAGUAAAGCAGGUUUAGUUAUUGGAAAAGGUGGAGAGACAAUUAAACAGUUACAGGAACGGGCAGGUGUCAAAAUGGUUAUGAUUCAAGAUGGUCCACAGAACACUGGUGCAGACAAGCCCCUUAGGAUAACUGGAGACCCUUACAAAGUUCAACAAGCCAAGGAAAUGGUGCUGGAGUUAAUUCGUGAUCAAGGUGGCUUUAGAGAGGUGCGCAACGAAUAUGGGUCAAGAAUAGGAGGAAAUGAAGGGAUAGACGUUCCAAUACCACGAUUUGCUGUAGGUAUUGUAAUUGGAAGAAAUGGAGAAAUGAUAAAAAAGAUACAGAAUGAUGCUGGUGUUAGGAUCCAGUUUAAGCCAGAUGAUGGAACAACUCCAGAAAGAAUAGCCCAAAUCACAGGACCUCCUGACAGAUGUCAGCAUGCUGCAGAAAUUAUUACAGAUCUCCUUCGAAGUGUUCAGGCUGGUAACCCUGGUGGACCAGGACCUGGUGGUAGAGGAAGGGGUAGAGGCCAAGGCAACUGGAACAUGGGGCCUCCUGGUGGAUUACAGGAGUUCAAUUUUAUUGUUCCCACUGGCAAAACUGGAUUAAUCAUUGGCAAAGGUGGUGAAACUAUUAAAAGCAUAAGCCAGCAGUCUGGUGCUAGAAUAGAACUUCAAAGAAAUCCUCCACCUAAUGCUGAUCCAAACAUGAAGAUGUUUACUAUCCGUGGAACACCCCAGCAAAUAGAUUAUGCACGACAACUUAUAGAAGAAAAGAUUGGAGGUCCAGUAAAUCCAUUGGGUCCGCCUGUUCCCCAUGGACCCCAUGGUGUUGUUCCUGGCCCACAUGGACCUCCUGGACCACCAGGUCCUGGUGCUCCCAUGGGACCAUAUAACCCAGCUCCUUAUAAUCCAGGGCCUCCUGGCCCUGCACCUCACGGUCCUCCAGCUCCAUAUGCUCCACAAGGAUGGGGAAACGCUUAUCCACACUGGCAGCCACCAAAUCCACCAGAUCCAGGUAAGCCAGGGACAGAUCCCAAUUCAGCAGCAUGGGCAGCUUAUUAUGCUCACUACUAUCAGCAGCAAGCACAGCCACCACCUGCAGCCCCUCCUGGUGGACCAGCUACAACCCAAACUAAUGGACAAGGAGAUCAGCCAAAUCCAGCACCAGCAGGGCAGGUUGACUAUACCAAGGCCUGGGAGGAGUACUACAAAAAAAUGGGUCAAGCAGUUCCUGCCCCUGCUGGGGCUCCUCCAGGUGGUCAGCCAGAUUACAGUGCAGCAUGGGCUGAGUACUACAGGCAACAGGCAGCAUAUUACGCCCAGACAAGUCCACAGGGAAUGCCACAGCAUCCUCCAGCACCACAGUGCCUUCCCAGACCUUCCACCUUAGGUUCUGCUGCAAAAAAGCAACAGGUAAGCACAACCUAAGGAAGUAUAUAAAUCAAUAUAUUUCAGUACAUUAAUGUUGUCCCUGUGAGAUCUUUGUGGUUGUGUAUUGAAAAGCAAUCUGCUGCCUCCCCAAAUGCAUUGUUACUCACGGUUCCAUUUCAGUGGAAAGUCUUUUCAACAACUGUUUAUAUUUCUAGGUAAAUAUGUUGGGGUUUUUUGGGUUUUUUUGUUUUGUUGGGGUUUUUUUUUUAGAAAAGAUUAGUAGAUUGCUGUAAUUAAACUUAAAUCAGAAUAAGUAAUUUUUGUUCUUUUUCCUUAAAUAGCUAAUUGUUGCAAUUAAAGAAUAAAAACCUUUAAAAUAUGCAGGAAUUACUUUGGUUAGAAACUUCAACAGCCUUCACAAAUGUUUUUUAUAAUAGGGCACUAUUCCUACUUACACCCUUGAGACCCAAGUAUGAAAAGUAUGACUUCUUAUUGUUAUCACUGAACUUGAUACCUUGUCUUACAAUUAUAGUGUGUUAGUGGAAUUUUCAGAUAACUUAGUUUGCUUAUCCGUACUUGACAUGGUAGGAAAACAGAUUUUGGAGUUUCAGAGAUUAGUAUGUUUUAACUGAAAAAGCAUGUGCACCAAUUAAAUGUUAACAGUACAGCAAAUAAUAUUUUAUAUAGCAGUCAGUGUAUCCUGUUUCUUGAUACUGUAACUGAAUUGCUGUAUAUUUUGAUAGCUUAAAAUGUUUCUAUGUCUUAUAGAUGGUCUGGUACAGGUUUUUGUUUCUGGUUUUCAGUUUGUUUUGGUUUUGUUUUAGCUUAAAGUAAAGCAGCAUCUAUUUGUUUUUGUUGAUUAUUCUGUUUCUAAAAUGUGCUGCUCCUCUUUCAAAAGUCCUGCUUAUUUGUACAUCAAAGAAAAAUAUUCAAAAAUACUGCCUUCAUUUUCACACACAGUGCUGAAGAUGCUGCAAGCACCAAAUCAUAGCUCAUAGAAUCAGGUCCCGAGAUAGUUACUACCAGUAAAGAGGAAUCCUUUGAGUGUAUGCCAUUGGUGAGCCGAUGAGCAUGGACCAUAGAAGGGCUCCAUGUAGAAGGUAAAAUUGGCAAAAGCAUAACAGAUUUGAAAUGUAUCCCAUACAUAAUGGUGUAGGGUAUAAUUUUUGUCUUGAUCACUUUUCAUUCUUUAAAGUAUUAUUAUUGUUUGACCAUAAAUGUUCCAUAAUCUGUUAAGUUUUUUAAACUGUGAUUUAAUAAUAUAAACCAUCUAUUUUAAUUUAUAUUCUUCUAAACAGCCAAGCUUAGAUAUAUUGAAUUUUUUAACUAAUAGUUGUGCUUCAGUUUCUCGAGCCACUUAAUAUUUCAUAUGUAGUUUAAUGUGUAACUUAAUUUUUGAUGUGAGAAAAGAUUAGGUGUGUACCAUUUGGAUUUUGAUACUAUGAAUUUAGUGUUGGGGUGAGUCAUUUGUUCACUUCCUUAUACAUGGUACUUUUUUCUUCAACUGUUAUUGUAAAGUAUCUUUACAGUCUCUGAAUUCUAAGUUUAGCCAGUGGGAGGGGAUAGAGAAGAAAAAGCCAGUUCAUUGGAAUGUUGCUAGCGUGUGGAAGGUGAGAUGUUGUGUGUUGCAUUCGAGUUGUAUGGACUUCCAGGUUUCUCACUGCAGGGCUUACAGACAUGCCGGUUUGAGCUAAAAAGCAUAGUGUUCUUUUUCAACUCUCCAAAUUCAUAGUUCUUAGGAGAACGGAAAAUAGAUUGGAGCUAUCCUGAUGCUAAAAGAUAACUGGACAUCCUUAGAAGUGCAAUUAACUUGUCCAAAGGUUUCUUUACAUGUUUUCCCUCUCCUCCCCAGUUCCUUAAGAGCCCCACCAAUUAAGUAGAAUGUGAAAAGUAUGAAAAGUUUAAAAAGGAAGCAUAGUGUUCAAAGUAGGAAAAGCAUUUUCAUAUCACUUUCUGCAGCCUAUAUUUUAAUAGGACAUGAAUAAAAUGUCAGGUGGAAUAACCUUCAGUCUAGCACGAUCGUAAGUCAUCUAUUUAAGUUGUCCAGGCAGACAGGAACAUUAUUCACUUGUGCAGCCGAUCUUGAAAUAUUUCAUCUUUUUACUAGUGGUGUUUUAUUGAAUGGUAGAAUCUGUUUCUCCCCUGUUCUCUUCCAAAGUAAUUUUUAAUUUUUCCAUUGCAUGCUAAAAGCUUUUUAUUUUGCUUUUUUUCUGAAGAGGGGGAGGAAGGGAGGACUGGGCUUUUCAGAAAGCAUACAGUUGACAGGAUUCCCUCUUCCCUAGUAAUAGCUUAUAAAACUCUUUAAGUAUGCACAAAUAUUUCUCUUGCGUGCAUGUGAAAUGCCUUUUCGUCCUGAGAAAAGUGUUCUCUGCAGAAACUACCCGUGUGUAAAAAGAAGAUUGGCUUUAAAAGGCAACUGUGAUGGGAACAGUGUCUUAGGGAGAUGCAGCUUGGACUUGAGACAUAUAAUCAUCACUGAAAAAAGGGGGAUUGAGAUACUCUGAUCUCUUCACUACUGCUUGUCACCAAUGAACACUUAACUGCUAUGAGAAGCCUGUGUUUUGCAAACUGCAAUCAAGACCAAAAGAAUGGGCCAUCUUCAGAGGAUAUCUUGGAGUAAUUUAUUUGUUAAUGGGGGAAACUGACUGGGAACUGUCAGAGUAUUGAUAUUCCUGAUUUCUGUAUACUGCAAGCAGCCCUGGGACUGGUACGUGGGGUAGCCAGUUAAGGCAAUUACAGAAAUCUUGUAUUUGGAAUUCAUAGGGGAAAAAAGAAAGAAUUGAAGGAAGUUAACUGCUGAACUCUUUCUUUAAGAUAAGUUUUUACUUCAAAUUUUGACAACCACUGAUAUCACAUAAAACUGCAUGUUAGCUUUUCUUUUUUUAACUAGACAAUUUGUAUAUUACUUUAUAUUAGUUACAUACUUUAUAUUUGAUUAAUAAAUGCAUAUACGUAAGGGAGGGACAUGAACAAAACUUAAGUGAGGAUGACUAGUGACUUUGUGAAGUUCUCGUUAACUUUUUUUUUUCACUGGUGUGUGCUGCCAGCCCCCAAAUGAAAAGGAAAAAUGCAUUAUUAACAUAAUGUCAAUGUUAUUGUUGCAGAAAGGUUAAGUGAUUUAUUGGAGGUGAGGGUGAAAGAGUAAAGUACAAUUCAGGUAUCCACCUAACCAUAGAAGCCUCUCUGUUUGGACUAGGUUGGGAAUUUCAAUGUUUCAGCUUUCUAUGUUUUUGUUUUCUUCCUUGGAGAAUAUAAAUUUCUUGAAUGUUUUCGAAGUAUAGUCAAUAUAGUGAUCUUGAGCUGUGUGUCCAAGAACAUCCAUUCAUUAUUGUACUCUUUGUAAGUUAAAGUUAACGAAUUCCUAGAAAUAAUAUUUUCAAAAAUUUCAUGGAAGAUUAAAAUCUCAUUUCUCAUUUA